GUCUGGUGCCAGCAGCCGCGGUAAUUCCAGCUCCAAUAGCGUAUAUUAAAGUUGUUGCAGUUAAAAAGCUCGUAGUUGAAUUUCGGGGUCAGCAGGUUGGUCGUGCCUCUGGUAUGUACUGGUCUUGCUGAUUCCUCCUUCUUGAAGAACCGUGAUGCCAUUAAUUUGGUG
This 171-nucleotide ribosomal RNA is filed under the name Glomus sp. RNAcentral's name for it is "partial small subunit ribosomal RNA". It matches the Rfam family "Eukaryotic small subunit ribosomal RNA", at positions 559 to 729 of the family's 1831-position model. Lineage: Eukaryota; Fungi; Glomeromycota; Glomeromycetes; Glomerales; Glomeraceae. The record is from RNAcentral.